Molecule: unclassified non-coding RNA, 328 nt
Filed under: soil metagenome
Description: partial contains 5.8S ribosomal RNA, internal transcribed spacer 2, and large subunit ribosomal RNA
Rfam family: 5.8S ribosomal RNA (bases 1-120)
Source: RNAcentral
GAUGAAGAACGUAGUGAAAUGCGAUAAGUAAUGUGAAUUGCAGAAUUCAGUGAAUCAUCGAAUCUUUGAACGCACAUUGCGCCCCCUGGUAUUCCGGGGGGCAUGCCUGUCCGAGCGUCAUUACAACCCUCAAGCUCAGCUUGGUGUUGGGCCCCGCCGCCCCGGCGGGCCCUAAAGUCAGUGGCGGUGCCGUCCGGCUCCGAGCGUAGUAAUUCUUCUCGCUCUGGAGGUCCGGUCGUGUGCUCGCCAGCAACCCCCAACUUUUACAGUUUGACCUGGGAUGAGGUAGGGAUACCCGCUGAACUUAAGCAUAUCAAUAAGCGGAGGA